RNAcentral lists this ribosomal RNA (427 nucleotides) under uncultured bacterium. RNAcentral describes it as "partial 16S ribosomal RNA". It matches the Rfam family "Bacterial small subunit ribosomal RNA", at positions 355 to 774 of the family's 1533-position model. The record is from RNAcentral.
UGGGGAAUUUUGGACAAUGGGGGAAACCCUGAUCCAGCCAUCCCGCGUGUGCGAUGAAGGCCUUCGGGUUGUAAAGCACUUUUGGCAGGAAAGAAACGUCAUGGGUUAAUACCCCGUGAAACUGACGGUACCUGCAGAAUAAGCACCGGCUAACUACGUGCCAGCAGCCGCGGUAAUACGUAGGGUGCAAGCGUUAAUCGGAAUUACUUGGCGUAAAGCGUGCGCAGGCGGUUCGGAAAGAAAGAUGUGAAAUCCCAGAGCUUAACUUUGGAACUGCAUUUUUAACUACCGGGCUAGAGUGUGUCAGAGGGAGGUGGAAUUCCGCGUGUAGCAGUGAAAUGCGUAGAUAUGCGGAGGAACACCGAUGGCGAAGGCAGCCUCCUGGGAUAACACUGACGCUCAUGCACGAAAGCGUGGGGAGCAAACA